CUGAAUGUUGGGCACCUCAAGUUGACAUUUUGCAGUGUGGGCCCCACUGAGUGUGCUGCCCUGGCCUUUGUGCUGCAGCACCUCCGGCGGCCCGUGGCCCUGCAGCUGGACUACAACUCUGUGGGUGACAUUGGCGUGGAGCAGCUGCUGCCUUGCCUUGGUGUCUGCAAGGCUCUGUAGUGAGUGUUACUGGGCAUUGCUGUUCAGCUGGGGAAUAACUACAUCACUGCCGCGGGAGCCCAAGUGCUGGCCGAGGGGCUCCGAGGCAACACCUCCUUGCAGUUCCUGGGUUCUGGGGCAACAGAGUGGGUGACGAGGGGGCCCAGGCCCUGGCUGAAGCCUUGGGUGAUCACCAGAGCUUGAGGUGGCUCAGCUGGUGGGGAACAACAUUGGCAGUGUGGGUGCCCAAGCCUUGGCACUGAUGCUGGCAAAGAACGUCAUGCUAG
This 446-nucleotide long non-coding RNA is filed under the name Homo sapiens (human). Its description in RNAcentral is "long non-coding RNA NONHSAT142430.2". Lineage: Eukaryota; Metazoa; Chordata; Mammalia; Primates; Hominidae. The record is from RNAcentral.